Non-coding RNA from Fusarium torulosum, 72 nucleotides. NCBI's taxonomy places the organism in Eukaryota, Fungi, Ascomycota, Sordariomycetes, Hypocreales, Nectriaceae. The record is from the annotation of a GenBank genome assembly.
UCUUCCAUAGUAUAGUGGUCAGUAUGCAAGCUUAUCAAGCUUGGAAGCCGGGUUUAAUUCCUGGCGGGGGAG